Molecule: ribosomal RNA, 546 nt
Filed under: uncultured bacterium
Lineage: Bacteria
Description: bacterial SSU rRNA
Rfam family: Bacterial small subunit ribosomal RNA
Source: RNAcentral
AAUAGAUACCCUGGUAGUCCAUGCUGUAAACGAUGAGUGCUCAUAUUUAGAAUUUUUAGAUAUUAAGCUAACGCGUUAAGCACUCCGCCUGAAAAGUAUAAUCGCAAGAUUGAAAUUCAAAGGAAUUGACGGGAGUCUACACAAGCGGUGGAGCAUGUGGUUUAAUUCGAUAAUACGCGCAGAACCUUACCAACUCUUGCAAAUUUUAUUAUAAAAUUUAUUAUAAUAAAACAGGCGUUGCACGGCUGUCGUCAGCUCGUGUUGUGAAAUGUUUGGUUAAAUCCUUUAACGAGCGCAACCCCCUAUUAUUAAUUGCUACUUUUAUUAUAAAAAAUUUUUUAUAAAAAAGCACUUUAAUAAAAUGUCAAUGAUAGGUUGAAGGAAGGUAGGGAUGACGUCAAGUCUUCAUGGCCCUUAUGAGUUGGGCUACACACGUGCUACAAUGAUAAUUACAAUGAGAGGCAAUAAUGAUUAAAAGUUGGAGCAAAUCUUUAAAGAUUAUCUUAAGUUCGGAUUAUGGGCUUGCAACUGCCCAUAUGAAGUUGG